RNAcentral lists this ribosomal RNA (420 nucleotides) under uncultured archaeon. RNAcentral's name for it is "partial 16S ribosomal RNA". It matches the Rfam family "Archaeal small subunit ribosomal RNA", at positions 323 to 746 of the family's 1478-position model. The record is from RNAcentral.
CUACGGGGUGCUGCAGUUAGGCAUAAUCUACAAUGCGCGCAAGCGUGAUAGUUUGAGCCAGAGUGCUUUUCAAACGAAAAGCUUUUGCCGAAUGCAAAAAGUUCGGCGAAUAAGGACUGGGUAAGACGAGUGCCAGCCGCCGCGGUAAUACUCGCGGUCCAAGUCGCAGCCAUUUUUAUUGGGUCUAAAACAUCCGUAGCUUGCUAGUAAGUCCCUUGUGAAAUUCUAUAUCUUAAGUAUGGAGCGGGCAAGGGGUACUGCCAAGCUAGAGACUGGUAGACGUAACGAGUACGUUUGGAGUAGCGGUAAAAUGUGUUAAUCCCAGACGGACUAACAAUAGCGAAGGCAUGUUACGAGAACAGUUCUGACAGUAAGGGAUGAAGGCUAGGGGCGCAAAACGGAUUAGAUACCCCCGUAGUC